UACGAAGGAUGCAAGCGUUAUCCGGAUUCAUUGGGUUUAAAGGGAGCGUAGGUGGACUGAUAAGUCAGUGGUGAAAUCUCUCAGCUUAACUGAGAAACUGCCAUUGAUACUGCAGGUCUAGAGUAUAGAUGACGUUGGCGGAAUAUGACAUGUAGUGGUGAAAUACUUAGAUAUGUCAUAGAACACCGAUUGCGAAGGCAGCUAACGAAACUAUAACUGACGCUGAGGCACGAAAGCGUGGGGAGCAAACGGG
This 253-nucleotide ribosomal RNA is filed under the name uncultured bacterium. RNAcentral describes it as "partial 16S ribosomal RNA". It matches the Rfam family "Bacterial small subunit ribosomal RNA", at positions 524 to 776 of the family's 1533-position model. The record is from RNAcentral.